This 85-nucleotide transfer RNA is filed under the name Clostridia bacterium. RNAcentral's name for it is "tRNA-Leu". It matches the Rfam family "tRNA". From Rfam's summary of the family: Transfer RNA (tRNA) molecules are approximately 80 nucleotides in length. Their secondary structure includes four short double-helical elements and three loops (D, anti-codon, and T loops). The record is from RNAcentral. Lineage: Bacteria; Bacillati; Bacillota; Clostridia.
GCGGUCAUGCUGGAACCGGUAGACAGGCAUGUUUGAGGGGCAUGUGUUGAAAGACGUGUGGGUUCAAGUCCCACUGACCGCACCA